RNAcentral lists this ribosomal RNA (460 nucleotides) under uncultured bacterium. Its description in RNAcentral is "partial 16S ribosomal RNA". It matches the Rfam family "Bacterial small subunit ribosomal RNA", at positions 338 to 795 of the family's 1533-position model. The record is from RNAcentral.
CCUACGGGUGGCAGCAGUGAGGAAUAUUGGUCAAUGGGCGUAAGCCUGAACCAGCCAAGUCGCGUGAGGGAUGAAGGUUCUAUGGAUCGUAAACCUCUUUUAUAAGGGAAUAAAGUGUGGGACGUGUCCUUUUUUGUAUGUACCAUAUGAAUAAGGAUCGGCUAACUCCGUGCCAGCAGCCGCGGUAAUACGGAGGAUCCGAGCGUUAUCCGGAUUUAUUGGGUUUAAAGGGAGCGUAGGUGGAUUGUUAAGUCAGUUGUGAAAGUUUGCGGCUCAACCGUAAAAUUGCAGUUGAAACUGGCAGUCUUGAGUACAGUAGAGGUGGGCGGAAUUCGUGGUGUAGCGGUGAAAUGCAUAGAUAUCACGCAGAACUCCGAUUGCGAAGGCAGCAUACCGGCGCUCAACUGACGCUGAGGCACGAAAGCGUGGGGAUCGAACAGGAUUAGAUACCCGAGUAGUC